Molecule: long non-coding RNA, 1722 nt
Organism: Takifugu rubripes (torafugu)
Lineage: Eukaryota; Metazoa; Chordata; Actinopteri; Tetraodontiformes; Tetraodontidae
Source: Ensembl
AAUGAGAAGCCUGUGGAACAGCUGAAGGUGUUAAUCGAGCAGUUUAGUGUGAGGUCGCGUGUUGAAUGCUGCCAGGUGCUGCAUGGACCCUUUUCCAUGUGGUAUCCGCAUCUCUCUACAUCCGUCCGCAUGUGCCUCCCGGCCCUGCGGCCUCGUGUCCGCCUCGACAACAUCACCGCGCUUCUCGCAUAUGAGCCAUGUGCAAACCCGGCGGCUGCUGCAACAUGUAGAGCACUGCUGUUAGGACUGGUGUCAGAAACCCCUCACAUAACAGGGCCCUUACUAUGUCGGUUGCCAGGCUUCAGAUGUGCAAAAGCAUGCAUCAUUUUUCACCAGCUCUCCGUUCUGAUAUCGACAAAAGCGGCUGCUAUGGAACAGCCUCUCCGCUUGUUCGUUGGCCUGAACUUCACUGAUGUCCGACUGCUCUCUUUUUCUCGCCUGAACGCAGCGCAGCGGGGAUGGAUUUGCAAGACAAAUGCGGCUGAGUGUGUGCGAGGGAGUCAAGUGGCACAAAAAGGCCGUUUCAGCAAGCCGAGGGGAUGGAGAAAGUCAGCAUUAUACGCACGUCAAAUCAAUCAAAAACAAAAGCGCACAUGAGGAAAAUACCGAGUUUAUGGUUAAAGAAUUGUAUUUUUUCCCUCUCCUAUCAACCAAGAAAUUAUUCCAUAUUCAAACAAUAGUACUUCAUAAAGAAAUAGUCAUAACGUUUACAUUCAGAGGUUUCCGAAUUUUUUUUAAAUUUUGCAGCAUAACGGAUCUCUGUACUGUUCAAAAGAAUCAAAGGAAAGAUUCAAGUAAACAGUUAAUAAACAUGUUACACUAAAACAUUCAACAUUGUGACUUAUUGUCUGAACAUUAAAGUAUAGCUUUCUCAAUGAAGCAAAGAAGACAAAACAUUCAAAGACUGAUGCAUUUGAUUGCUAAGAUUUAUUCCCACGUGUGGCAAAGUAUGGCUUCUGCUAAAUCUGUAUUUAUUCCCCAAGUACCUUACAGUUUUGUAUCUGCUAAUCUAGAAGUUAGCAAUCAUGUUCAAACAUUGAAACUGCAGCAUCCAGAACAGUGUCCUGCUCAGAGAUUGAUGUUACAUUUUUGUGUGCUAUGGACAAGUUUGGUGAGCAGAUAUACAGUAAAUGAGAAUAUUUAUGUUCAUUUACUCAUUCAUCUGUUUCAGUAAAAUGUUGAUUUCAUCAUGAUCUCAUCAUCUCCUUCCAGCUUUACUUGCUGAUAUCAGCAGCUUCCAAUAGCUUGUAGGCAGAAAAAAAACCAAACUCCAGCCCUCGCAGGAAAUGCGAUUAACCCAGGAGUGCUUCAACUCGGCUGGAAGCCCCCUGCAACCAGCUACUGUUCUUUAUAUGCUCUCCAAUGAAGGCCAAUUACUUUUAGUGGGAACUCUGGUGUUGACAUUAUAUGUGUUGUUCUUGUUGAGAUGGAGAGUUGAGCUGUGAAAGAAGAGGCGGACUUGAAGUAGAAUCCCUCCUGAGUCGCUUCAACAGGCAAUAAAAUAUACCUUGGUAACCAUGGAAACUGGCUGAUAUGUGGGAGAUGCCAUUAACAUUUUACAUAUAUGCAGUUUACUUACUUGUUUACUUGUUUCUUUUCCUGAUUUCCUGAAUAAUUACCCUCAUGAAAUUAAAACACACUGUACUGAAAUGUAUUUCUCAUGUUCUGAUAGUCACAAAACAAUUAAGAAUUUCCUUGGAAUCCUGAAGUAAAACAUUUGAA